This 414-nucleotide ribosomal RNA is filed under the name uncultured bacterium. Its description in RNAcentral is "bacterial SSU rRNA". It matches the Rfam family "Bacterial small subunit ribosomal RNA", at positions 355 to 775 of the family's 1533-position model. The record is from RNAcentral.
UCGAGGAUCUUCGGCAAUGGGCGCAAGCCUGACCGAGCGACGCCGCGUGCGCGAUGAAGGCCUUCGGGUUGUAAAGCGCUGUCGUGGGGGAGGAAGACCCGCAAGGGUUUGACCUAUCCCAGGAGGAAGCACGGGCUAAGUUCGUGCCAGCAGCCGCGGUAAGACGAACCGUGCGAACGUUGUUCGGAAUCACUGGGCUUAAAGGGCGCGUAGGCGGGCGAGCAAGUUCGGGGUGAAAUCUUUCGGCUCAACCGGAAAAGGGCCUCGGAGACUGCUCGUCUGGAGGGAGGUAGGGGCAGGUGGAACUGCUGGUGGAGCGGUGAAAUGCGUUGAUAUCAGCAGGAACGCCGGUGGCGAAAGCGACCUGCUGGACCUCUUCUGACGCUGAGGCGCGAAAGCUAGGGGAGCAAACGG